RNAcentral lists this ribosomal RNA (253 nucleotides) under uncultured bacterium. RNAcentral's name for it is "partial 16S ribosomal RNA". It matches the Rfam family "Bacterial small subunit ribosomal RNA", at positions 524 to 776 of the family's 1533-position model. The record is from RNAcentral.
UACGUAGGUGGCGAGCGUUGUUCGGAAUCACUGGGCAUAAAGCGCGCGUAGGCGGCCAGGCAAGUCAGGCGUGAAAUCCCUCGGCUCAACCGAGGAACUGCGCCCGAUACUGCCUGGCUUGAGGGCCGGAGGGGAGAGUGGAAUUCCCGGUGGAGCGGUGAAAUGCGUAGAGAUCGGGAAGAACGCCGGCGGCGAAAGCGACUCUCUGGACGGUACCUGACGCUGAGGCGCGAAAGCUAGGGGAGCAAACGGG